This 259-nucleotide ribosomal RNA is filed under the name uncultured bacterium. RNAcentral's name for it is "partial 16S ribosomal RNA". It matches the Rfam family "Bacterial small subunit ribosomal RNA", at positions 96 to 353 of the family's 1533-position model. The record is from RNAcentral.
UGGCGGACGGGUGAGUAACGCGUGGGUAACCUGCCUUAUACCGGGGGAUAACAGCCAGAAAUGGCUGCUAAUACCGCAUAAGCGCACAGAACCGCAUGGUUCCGUGUGAAAAACUCCGGUGGUAUAAGAUGGACCCGCGUUGGAUUAGCUAGUUGGCAGGGCAGCGGCCUACCAAGGCGACGAUCCAUAGCCGGCCUGAGAGGGUGAACGGCCACAUUGGGACUGAGACACGGCCCAGACUCCUACGGGAGGCAGCAUG